CCUACGGGUGGCAGCAGUGAGGAAUAUUGGUCAAUGGACGAGAGUCUGAACCAGCCAAGUAGCGUGAAGGAUGACUGCUCUAUGGGUUGUAAACUUCUUUUAUAUGGGAAUAAAAUGUUCCACGUGUGGGUUUUUGUAUGUACCAUAUGAAUAAGGAUCGGCUAACUCCGUGCCAGCAGCCGCGGUAAUACGGAGGAUCCGAGCGUUAUCCGGAUUUAUUUGGUUUAAAGGGAGCGUAGGUGGUUGGUUAAGUCAGUGGUGAAAGUUUGCGGCUCAACCGUGGAAUUGCAGUUGAAACUGGCAGUCUUGAGUACAGUAGCGGUGGGCGGAAUGCGUGGUGUAGCGGUGAAAUGCUUAGAGAUCACGAAGAACACCGAUUGCGAAGGCAGCUCACUGGACUGCAACUGACGCUGAGGCUCGAAAGUGUGGGGAUCAAACAGGAUUAGAUACCCGAGUAGUC
RNAcentral lists this ribosomal RNA (460 nucleotides) under uncultured bacterium. Its description in RNAcentral is "partial 16S ribosomal RNA". It matches the Rfam family "Bacterial small subunit ribosomal RNA", at positions 338 to 795 of the family's 1533-position model. The record is from RNAcentral.